UACAGAGGGUGCAAGCGUUGUUCGGAAUUAUUGGGCGUAAAGCGCGUGUAGGCGGCCUUGCAAGUUGGGUGUGAAAGCCCUCGGCUUAACCGAGGAAGUGCGCCCAAAACUACGAGGCUUGAGUGCCGGAGAGGGUGGCGGAAUUCCCGGUGUAGAGGUGAAAUUCGUAGAUAUCGGGAGGAACACCAGUGGCGAAGGCGGCCACCUGGACGGUAACUGACGCUGAGACGCGAAAGCUAGGGGAGCGAAC
Molecule: ribosomal RNA, 250 nt
Filed under: uncultured bacterium
Lineage: Bacteria
Description: partial 16S ribosomal RNA
Rfam family: Bacterial small subunit ribosomal RNA
Source: RNAcentral